ACGGUGUUCUGGGAGGAGUUACGCAGGCAGGGUUGUGGUUGCUGGCUGUUACCAGGACAACCGGAGGCGAUUGACCGUUAUCUGCGGUUUGGAGCCGUUAGCGGGAGAGGCAGAGAUAUUCAGAGGUCUUUUAGGAUGCGCUAAAGGGUCGUGAGGGCUCUCUUAAAAUUUUCUUCACAAGCGGUUAUCCAGUCGUGCCCCGCGGCCCUGCUGCUGGCCCCGGGGAUCUGAGUCGUACCCUCUUGUUUUUCUCUGAGUCAGUCUUAAGGUGAAAUGAAGUGUGGCCCAGUGGCUCCUCACUGUCGCUUCUCUAGUUUUCUGCCUCCUUUUAGAAAAUUGAAUUGAAAAGACAGGAUGAAGUGGACACAGCAUGUGAAGACAAUUCUUUCAAGAAGUUUGGCUGUCAAGGAAAACAGAGAAU
This 421-nucleotide unclassified non-coding RNA is filed under the name Homo sapiens (human). RNAcentral's name for it is "GIHCG inhibitor of miR-200b/200a/429 expression (ENSG00000262349.2)". Lineage: Eukaryota; Metazoa; Chordata; Mammalia; Primates; Hominidae. The record is from RNAcentral.